This is a microRNA precursor of Chrysemys picta bellii (western painted turtle), 88 nucleotides long. The record is from Ensembl. NCBI's taxonomy places the organism in Eukaryota, Metazoa, Chordata, Testudines, Emydidae.
ACAGUGCACUCCUCCAUAAAGUAGAAAGCACUACUAAACCGCCGCGUCCCGUGUAGUGUUUCCUACUUUAUGGAUGAGUGUACUGUGA